This is a long non-coding RNA of Drosophila willistoni, 323 nucleotides long. RefSeq lists it as uncharacterized. The record is from RefSeq and is a predicted model, not a curated record. NCBI's taxonomy places the organism in Eukaryota, Metazoa, Arthropoda, Insecta, Diptera, Drosophilidae. The transcript has 2 exons.
AUUGGCUUUAUAUGUUUUUAUGCGCAAUGCUUUUAUUAUUCUUUCUGACCCAGUUGGUUGAGGCUAAGCCCAAAAGACUCUGGCCAAAUGUAGAUAUGAACUGUCAUUGGGAGCAAUCUGGUUGUAAACGAUUUGAUUCUAUUAAAAAAAGUGUUUCGAAAUGAAUUUCCAAGCAAAUGAAGUUUUUUUGUGUUGGGUUGAAAAUUGAAAUUUGAUUAUCAAGCGCAAAUCAACCGCAGCUGUGGCAAUUAAGUCCCUCAAAAAUGUGUUUAACCUAACCCAUUAACCUUGAGUUGCAAAUAUAAAGCCGCGAUUUAAUUCCA